GCUAAGUCCGUUCGGCGGAA
RNAcentral lists this small nuclear RNA (20 nucleotides) under Arabidopsis thaliana (thale cress). RNAcentral describes it as "snRNA_14171". The record is from RNAcentral. Lineage: Eukaryota; Viridiplantae; Streptophyta; Magnoliopsida; Brassicales; Brassicaceae.